Meleagris gallopavo (turkey) is the source of this 386-nucleotide non-coding RNA. The record is from RefSeq and is a predicted model, not a curated record. NCBI's taxonomy places the organism in Eukaryota, Metazoa, Chordata, Aves, Galliformes, Phasianidae.
AGCGCUCACGCCCCGUCCCUGAGGCUGCGCGGUUACGGCCCGCAGGGUUGUUAGAGACUGCUCUGGGUCUCUGCCUGCGAUCUGCUCCUCCGGCUACUGCCCGGAAAGAAGUUGUUCUAGCUCGGUUUCUUCUGCAGCUGUAGGAUUCAGGGUUAAGAUUCCACUAUGUGGCUGCUGGAGAAAGGGGUAAACCACUCAUGCUGCUGCUUCAUGGCUUUCCAGAAUUCUGGUAUUCUUGGCGCCAUCAAUUGCGGGAAUUUAAAAGUGAAUAUCGAGUUGUGGCCCUGGAUUUGAGAGGUUAUGGAGAAACAGAUGCUCCUUCUCACAAAGAAAAUUACAAAUUAGAUUUCCUGAUAACAGAUAUAAAGGAUAUUUUGGAAUCUCUA